This 594-nucleotide unclassified non-coding RNA is filed under the name uncultured bacterium. Its description in RNAcentral is "partial contains 16S ribosomal RNA, 16S-23S ribosomal RNA intergenic spacer, and 23S ribosomal RNA". The stretch from base 481 to 594 matches the Rfam family "Bacterial large subunit ribosomal RNA", at positions 1 to 114 of the family's 2925-position model. The record is from RNAcentral.
UCUGGAGCAGGACGCCAACUGGCGCCGCAGGCCAACAGGCCGCCACAGCUGCACAGGAUCGACGACAGAGACAUCCGGCUCUUGCUACUCGCAUCUAUUGCAUUCGGGGGAUUAGCUCAGCUGGCUAGAGCACCUGCUUUGCAAGCAGGGGGUCAACGGUUCGAAUCCGUUAUUCUCCACCAGGGAAAAGAGCCCAGGCUCUGUUCCGAGCGAACAUUGACAUGUUGGAAGCUGAGUGAUGAGAAAUCAUCACAAUACGAGCAAAUCGAAGAAUCAAGACAAUUCAGAACGAGCGCAAGCCAAAGCAAGCCAUAGCUCAUAACAAUGACUUAUGACUUACAGCGGCAGGCAGUUCGAUGCCGACGCAAAACGCGUCGCAGCGUCAACCCAAAAGACACAAAGCGACAGCACGGCAGCUCCGCGAGGGCAGCCGGGCGUAAAAAGGCGAAAAGCGAAUCCUCGAAGGAAUCGAAAGAUACACGGAAAGGAGAAAAGGGCACAUGAAGGAUGCCUUGGCUCUCGGAGGCGACGAAGGACGUGACAAGCUGCGAUAAGCCGUGCCCAGGGGCAAAUACCCGCCUAAGCACGGAUUUC